Non-coding RNA from Nerophis lumbriciformis (worm pipefish), 83 nucleotides. NCBI's taxonomy places the organism in Eukaryota, Metazoa, Chordata, Actinopteri, Syngnathiformes, Syngnathidae. The record is from RefSeq and is a predicted model, not a curated record.
UGCCUGUGAUGACAAAUUACUUUUCUGACACCUACUAUGACAGCUGUUGUCAGCUUGUGAUUCUACAUUUUAUCCUGAGGCUU